RNAcentral lists this transfer RNA (72 nucleotides) under Candidatus Woesearchaeota archaeon. RNAcentral's name for it is "tRNA-Ala". It matches the Rfam family "tRNA". Rfam says of the family: Transfer RNA (tRNA) molecules are approximately 80 nucleotides in length. Lineage: Archaea; Nanobdellati; Candidatus Woesearchaeota. The record is from RNAcentral.
GGGCCCUUAGCUCAGCGGUAGAGCACUUCCUCGGCAUGGAAGGGGCCGCGGGUUCGAUUCCCGCAGGGUCCA